AAUAAAAUAACAUUUGUACCGUAGACAGCAGGUGCGACAGCUUAAUUUCCUGCCGAGGUCAUACGAUAGAUUUUCUUUUGAACGGCUAUUGUAUACUUCCUCCAUGUCUGCAAGAUGUGGAGGUUUUUCUUUGGACGG
Bacillus sp. NRRL B-14911 is the source of this 138-nucleotide non-coding RNA. NCBI's taxonomy places the organism in Bacteria, Bacillati, Bacillota, Bacilli, Caryophanales, Bacillaceae. The record is from Rfam.